UCCAUGAGGGCAAAAUUCCAUUUUCAAUCCUAUGCCAUCAGCUCCUGCCUGUCAUUUGUCCCAUCAGAAAUAAUUUUUAUUUUUAUUUUUUUUGAAAAUGAUCACUUCCUUUCAAAGUCUAAUAUAAGGCACUGUAAUCCCUGCAGAAACAAAUUUCACAGUCUGUCAGCAAACUGCCUGGAGAGUUGCUCUCUUUUCCCUCAGAAUUACUUAUUACAGUGUUUUACUUCUCAUGGUUAAUGUGCAUUUGAGGUUAACACAGAUAUUCUGGCAAUCUAACCUUCCCCUGAGGGUACUGAUGUAAAUCAGAGAUAUCUCAGUUUAUCCCUAAGGUUAGCUUGGUCCCUUGCACUGGUCUCUGAUGUGGUCCCUAAUUUGCAGACUUUAUUAUAAAUUGGAUAAUAUUGCUCAAUGAAAUGAGCGUGUGAAGAAAAAAGAGGUGCAACUAUGCUGCAUUUGUUUGAGAGUGGAAGAUUAUUUUCAAACAUGUUCAUCAAGGUAGCCAACAUUACAGUUUUGUAGGGAUUGCUGCACAUCAGUCUAUAAACUUCCUGCUUGGUCCACCACCAGCAAGACAUCUAAACAGGGAUAAACAGGUUUUAGUGCUAGACUUGGUCACUGUAGUCUCACAUCUAGACCUUCAAAAGCCUUGAUCAAUCGUUGCCUAAUCCUCAGAGCAUCUAGGGACUCUGGCUGUAUUUCUGCCCCCCCAGCUGUCUACAUCUGUCACAUCUCUGGAUGAAUAUAUUCAUAAAUUGUUGGGCACCAACCUGUUUUUUUCCUAUCUUGUAGGUUUCUGCAUUGAACAGGCUGCUAAAGUGCCCUACGUGGGACUGCAUGGGCCAAGGCAUCUUAGCUAGAACCAGCCUGUCAGGAGGGAACUUCACUGCAGAAGUGGUGCCACUCGCAGAAUUCAGAUGAGCUUGAGGAAAAAGGAGCAAGGAACGCUUGGCAGCCGUGGAGGAUUUUUGAGGGGAGUUGCAGCAGGCAUUAAUAUGACUCAUAAAGAGCUAGCAUCUCAGAAAAGAAAGCUUUUGAAGAACACAGCCACAAAGCUAAAACACUGGCACUGCUUUUCUUCCACUUGGGAGAAAUCUGGCCCAGAACUCUGAGUUCUCAGGUCAAAACACCUCAAGCCUGGAACUGUAUCUGGAAUCCCCUGCGGGCUUCAUGAGAUGAUUAGCCAGCAUCCAUGUGAGGUGCUGUGUUGCUUCCCUGAUGCUUGCAGCCAUGUCAUUGGGCUGAGGGAGCUACAGGGGAUCCAACGGGACUCAGAAGAACAACAAGAAGGAGGGAGAAAUCAGCGGAGCAUGGAGGUCUGUGUGCUGUUGAGCUACCUUCUAGGAAAAGAGGACUGGUGUCUAUUUUCAGGAUGGUAUCUGUGUUUUACAUUCAGCUAACAUCACCUGCAGAACCAGAAAACCUUGUACAGAAGCAAUCUGCACCUGUCCUUUCUGAGAAAGAUGGACUAAUUACUUGCUACCCCUACAUGCUAAUUGCUGGGGUUACGCUUGCCUCCCAGAAUCUUAAUGUUCUUUUAACACAGCUUCAAAACCAGAAGUAACCCAGCCUGUUGUCCAGAAAAAUAUUCUCCAUUACAUGUUUUGAACCUUGUUUCGCUGAGGAAGGAAUAAAAUCACUGUUCAUAUUCAUGUAAGACAUCUCUACUCACCUGAGUGCUGAGCAAAAGACACAUGAGGCUUUUAAAAAAAUUAUUACAAAUAAUAAUUUUGCUUCCUUUCAGAUCACUAAACCUGCAAGUAAUUUUUUGCUUGAAUGAGCAAAUGAGGGGUUAGGCAUUUUCCAUGUGAACUGUUUUUGAAGCUUUCAGCCCUUCUUUACCUAAUUUAAAGAGUGCUGAAAAUGAACUGACACACCACCCACAGCAUCCCUGUCACAAAAGUAGCUCAUGUCCGCUGGUUUGAAGGCCUGGAACACCACAGAAACUGGUACCAUGUGAAGUGAAAUUCAGUCUCUUUCGGGAGAUCAGCAAAAGGACUUCUUAGAUUUCGUUAUGUAUAGAUACCCAAGCCUCCUCCUGCUGUGCUUUGCAUUCACAGAUCUCAAUGUGCUCCUUGGAAAGUGGGCAAUUUCCAACCUGAGGGAACCGGCUUCUGCUUUAAACUUCACAGCUGGCUGUGCUGGGAAGCCCGUGUUCAAAGCAAAAAUAAGCAUCUGUUUGAACAGUGUAUAUGUGGCUUGUAACAGAAAAAGGGAAAGAAAAAUGUAGGUUAAGAGUUAAGCCAAGCUGAGACUUAACGUGGGCAUUUGUUUGUUGAUUGUUGACAGGAAUUGUACAGAUAGAACUUUGUCGCGUAACGAGCCCUUCUGAGGAAACUGUGCCCUAAAUACCAGUGUUUGCUUGCAAUUGUUUGUACGAGUUUACUGAGAAUAACAAAAAAUUUGGCCCCUUUAAGUGGCAACAGUAAAUUAUAUACGUUCACUGACACUUGAUUACUUUAUGCUAAUCGGUUUAGUAAGUACCAAUUAUAUCCCCAAAUGGUUUUCUGAAUGUUAACAUAUCAGCUACAUUCCUCAUUUUCGUGUGUAUUUUGUAGUUAGAAAAUGAAGCAGUAAGAUUUCUCUUUCAUACCUAUUAGUCAUCAUUACAUUCUCUAGUAAAAUGGUAUUUCAGAUGUAAUGAUAUUUGCAAACGUAUUUAGAUGGAGGUUCUUAAUAUUAAUACUAAGUAUUAACCCAUUAUAUUCCUCUAGGUAGAAGCAUGUGUAGAAAAAAACAUGAAGGAUAAAAAACAUCAGAUGAAGUUAUGAACAGAAGGUGUUUUAUACAAUUUUCUAUAGAUAACAUUAACUAA
Long non-coding RNA from Calidris pugnax (ruff), 2815 nucleotides. RefSeq lists it as uncharacterized. NCBI's taxonomy places the organism in Eukaryota, Metazoa, Chordata, Aves, Charadriiformes, Scolopacidae. The record is from RefSeq and is a predicted model, not a curated record. The transcript has 4 exons.